ACAUAUUUAUUCUCAUUCUUUCAUCGUUCAAAAUCAAAUUCUAGAGAGAAAGAGAGAGUAAAGGAGUUCGAGCGAGAGAGAAAGGAGGGAGAAGAAGAAACUUCAAGUUCCAAGUUCUUUGCAUGUGAGAAAAUAUAAAAAUGCGGGGACCUGGGAACAUUACGAGUCGUAGUGUCCAUUACGGGUUGACCAUAAUGAUACAUGUUUGUGUUUGUGUGUGU
Molecule: long non-coding RNA, 221 nt
Filed under: Lathyrus oleraceus (garden pea)
Lineage: Eukaryota; Viridiplantae; Streptophyta; Magnoliopsida; Fabales; Fabaceae
Description: Pisum sativum (pea) long non-coding RNA (PSAT_LNC028029)
Source: RNAcentral